This 1098-nucleotide ribosomal RNA is filed under the name Triticum aestivum (bread wheat). RNAcentral describes it as "partial small subunit ribosomal RNA". The record is from RNAcentral. Lineage: Eukaryota; Viridiplantae; Streptophyta; Magnoliopsida; Poales; Poaceae.
AUGCGGCUCUUCGACGGGUUCUACUCCUCGUCGGCCGAUCUCUCCUGCAUCAACAGGGCGCACAUUGUGCUGCUGCCCAAAGGCGAAGGUGUUCUCUCGCCCGCGGGCUUCCGGCCGGUCUCGCUCCAGAACUGUGAUGUCAAGUUGGUAUGCAAAGCCCUGACUACCAGACUCCAGCAUCAAAUCCCGGGGCUAAUUGACCCCGACCAGUCCGGCUUCAUCAAAGGGAGAAGCAUCUCCGAAAACUUCGUCUACGCUGUGGAGAUUGUGCAAUGUUGUGACUCCAGGAAGGCACCCUCGCUCGUCCUCAAGCUUGACUUCGCGAAGGCUUUCGACUCCAUCAGCUGGCAGAGCCUUCGGAGGAUCAUGGAGGUGCGGGGGUUCCCUGCGCGCUGGUGUGACUGGAUGGACGCCAUUUUCCGCUCCUCCAUGUCAGCGGUCCUUCUAAACGGGGUCCCCAGGCGCUGGAUCACGUGUAAGAAGGGGCUGCGCCAAGGCAACCCGAUCUCCCCCUACCUCUUCCUGCUUGUGGCGGAUGUGCUGCAACGGAUGAUCCAGCAAGACAGGGGGAUGGCGCACCCGCUGGUGGCUGGUAAGCCGCCGCUGGUGCUCCAGUACGCCGACGACACCCUCAUCAUUCUCCGGGCGGGGCUGGGGGCGGUGAGGCGGUUGAAAAGCAUUCUCGAUGCUUUUGCGACGGCGACGGGGCUUGUCAUCAACUUCCACAAGAGCACGGUUGUGCCCAUGCACGUCUCCGAGGGUGAUCUCGAGGACAUGGUUAAUGUCUUGGGCUGCCAGGUUGGGAGCUUCCCUCAGGUCUACCUUGGGCUUCCACUCUCCAACCGCAAGCUGACGAUGGACGACUUCCUCCCUCUCAUCGCCAAGGCCGAGCGUUACCUGUCCGGAUGGCGGGCGCAGCUCCUCUCCUUUGGGGGUCGUCUUGUCCUGCUCAACGCCGUCCUCGACUCGCUGCCCACCUACACCAUGGCGGCCAUGGAGCUGCCGCCGUCGGUGCUGCGCGCUCUGGAUGCUCUUCGACGUUCCUUCCUGUGGGCUGCUGCGGAUAAGGCGUCGGGGGCCCAGUGCCUUGUUGCCUAG